Xenia sp. Carnegie-2017 is the source of this 885-nucleotide long non-coding RNA. RefSeq lists it as uncharacterized. The transcript has 2 exons. The record is from RefSeq and is a predicted model, not a curated record. NCBI's taxonomy places the organism in Eukaryota, Metazoa, Cnidaria, Anthozoa, Malacalcyonacea, Xeniidae.
AGGACAUGGAAAUCAGAGUACAAGAUACGGGGUUAACUACUCCGGUAGGAAAAUCUGAAUGGAUUGUGGAGUACGUACACAAACUUAAAAAAGUUUAAAAGUUAAAGAAUUUGGAAGUUUAUCGUAUGCAACUAUCGUUAUCAAAAUAUCUAUAUCUGCAGAAAUUGUAGAACUGUACAAAUAACUAUGUGUGAUUCAUGUGGAUAGCGUUAAGACAAUUGGAAUUGAGAUCUUGAUCCUGGGGGAAAACGAACGGCACAUGGCGGACAACUCACCUUCUUCCUUGCAACUCAAUGAUUUGUUCGAUUGGAGUUUACAAAGCAAAGUGAAAUACAUUAGCAAGAACAAAAGGCACAGACAUCGACUACACAUAUCUAAAACAAGCAUGGAAAAAAGUGCCAAGCUGUAGUAAACUUAUAUAGAAGUGAGGAUAGAUUGAAAGAGCUGCAGGAAAAAGAAAGAAAAUAUCACGAAACUGCAUGUCUAGAAAUAGUAGCGAUUAUCAAUAAUUUGAUAUCGAGUACAAGUAUAAUCUGCAAAAAAUAUUUCGACUUUUAGGUAACACCAGCUUGAAGAUUUCAAACGACCUUUAAUGGAAAAUAUUUUUGAGUAAUGAAAAUAACAAAGAUAUUUUGAAAAAAGUUGUCGCGUAUAUACCUACACCAGUUAUCCUUAUAAUAGUUGACACUAAUUAUUAUAACAAAGAAUUUAUUAGAUUAAUAUUUAUUACUUCUAAGAAUUUUCUCCUUGAAGGCAUCUUAUCACCACACUAAAACAGUAAUCAGAAAUCUCAAAAGUUUAGAACCUGGUAUAAACUAACAAUAUGUAAAUUUCUCUAAAAACUCUCAAUAAACAUCUCCUGGGAAGUUUUGAAAACCUCUUAAA